CACGCACAAAACUAAAGUCCCCAAAAUCAUCUUUAGUGGUAUCUCAGCAAGUAGGGAUCUCUUCCCACCCUCUCCCCCAGCAGGGGACAUGUGACAAUGUCUGAAGACAUUUAGAUUUUUUAAAUGUGUGCGUGCCUGUGUGCAUGAGUGUGUGUACUAUUGGCUUCUAGUGGGUAGAGAACUAGAGAUUCUGCUAAACACCCUACAAUGCCAGGACAGCUCUCACAACAAAAUGAUUGAGCCCACGAUGUCAGCAGUGCCAGAGUUGCAAAACUCUCCUAUCUUCAAGAGCAAAAUGGCAUCCCUGCAACCCUCAGCACUUGACAACUAGCAGGCCUGGUUGUCCUGUUGUCCUCAUACAUUACACCUGAUCCAUUUUGCUUGAUGGUUUUUGCCAAGCCAGCUUGGGAGCUCCAUGGCAAAGGAACUUUCUGUGUCUCCAGUAACCUAUAAGAACAACCCCAGGAAGCAUUUGUUGCUCCGGAAGCAUUUGUUGAACAACUUGCUCAAGUCAUGCAGCCUUCCCCACCCUAUCCCAUUACCAUCAUUCUGCUGUUCUUCCAGGAUCCUUGAAUACAGGCAACAGAAGGCAUCACUAACUUGAGCAGGAAAGAACUUUAAUAGAAGUAUGGAAGAGGACUUGGUCAUCCCUUGGGGAAGGAUCAGAGACUGGAGAACAAGGGGGAACGACAGCAGGAAGCCUCACAGGUGCAGGUUUGUCUUUUUCCAAGGCGUUGGUAUAGAUUUGCCUGCAUGGGUGUCAUAGGGCCUGGACCAGAUGUUGCUUUCAUCUGGGCCAUGCCUCCAGUGGGGCGAGUGUUGUAUCUAGCUGGCUCUCUAUGCUACCUGGCUCUCUAUGCUACCUGGCUCUCUAUGCUACCGAGUGCUGAGCAAGGGAGGAGGGUCAUCUCAGCUGCAAGUUCACUCUGCCCGACCUUGAGAUUCUGGAGCUGGACCUGGAGAUGGUUUUCCUUCACCAGCUGGGGCAGUGUUAAGCUUUGUAGGAUACUGGGGUACACUGUAAAGCAUAGGGAAGGGGUCUCUGGCUCUGCUGUCUUUCUUUAUAUGCUGG
Molecule: long non-coding RNA, 1072 nt
Organism: Heterocephalus glaber (naked mole-rat)
Lineage: Eukaryota; Metazoa; Chordata; Mammalia; Rodentia; Bathyergidae
Source: Ensembl